Molecule: ribosomal RNA, 497 nt
Filed under: uncultured bacterium
Lineage: Bacteria
Description: partial 16S ribosomal RNA
Rfam family: Bacterial small subunit ribosomal RNA
Source: RNAcentral
GAUGAACGCUGGCGGCGUGCCUAAUACAUGCAAGUCGAGCGAACAGAUGAGGAGCUUGCUCCUCUGACGUUAGCGGCGGACGGGUGAGUAACACGUGGAUAACCUACCUAUAAGACUGGGUUAACUUCGGGAAACCUGAGCUAAUACCGGAUAAUAUAUUGAACCGCAUGGUUCAAUAUUGAAAGACGGUUUUGCUGUCACUUAUAGAUGGAUCCGCGCCGCAUUAGCUAGUUGGUAAGGUAACGGCUUACCAAGGCAACGAUGCGUAGCCGACCGGAGAGGGUGAUCGGCCACACUGGAACGGGAACACGGUCAAGACGCCUGCGGGAGGCAGCAGUAGGGAAUCGUCCGCAAUGGGCGAAAGCCUGGCGGAGCAACGCCGCGUGAGUGGUGAAGGUCUUCGGAGCGGAAUACUCUGUUAUUGGGGAAAAACAAAUGUGUAAGUAACUAUGCACGUCUUGACGGUACCUAAUCAGAAAGCCACGGCUAACUACGUG